UGGUGGAGUGAUUUGUCUGCUUAAUUGCGUUAACGAACGAGACCUCCGCCUGCUAAAUAGUUAUGCGGCUCAUUGAGCCGUUGUGACUUCUUAGAGGGACUACUGGUGUUUAGCCAGCGGAAGUUGGAGGCAAUAACA
Molecule: ribosomal RNA, 138 nt
Filed under: uncultured eukaryote
Lineage: Eukaryota
Description: partial 18S ribosomal RNA
Rfam family: Eukaryotic small subunit ribosomal RNA
Source: RNAcentral